Molecule: ribosomal RNA, 253 nt
Filed under: uncultured bacterium
Lineage: Bacteria
Description: partial 16S ribosomal RNA
Rfam family: Bacterial small subunit ribosomal RNA
Source: RNAcentral
UACGUAGGGUGCAAGCGUUGUCCGGAAUUAUUGGGCGUAAAGGGCUCGUAGGCGGUCCAUCGCGUCGGGAGUGAAAAGCUGGGGCUUAACCCCAGUCCUGCUUCCGAUACGGGUGGACUAGAGGUAGGUAGGGGAGAUCGGAAUUCCUGGUGUAGCGGUGAAAUGCGCAGAUAUCAGGAGGAACACCGGUGGCGAAGGCGGCCUGCUGGGCAGUAGCUGACGCUGAUGCGCGACAGCGUGGGGAGCAAACAGG